UUGGGCUCACAGCGCCUAGGAUCAGCAACAAGCAAAGUCCUAUCAUAGCGAACAAGAAUGUCCUUAAUCUCCUUCUUCGACUGCUCGUCCACGUACUUCUGGUAGAAGGCAACAAGUGCCUUAGCAAUGGACUGACGGAUAGCGUAGAUCUGAGAUGUGUGACCUCCACCCUUCACGCGGAUACGCAUGUCCACGCCGGCAAAUCGGUGGCGAGCAACAAGUGCCUUAGCUAUGGACUGACGGAUAGCAUAGAUCUGAGAUGUGUGACCUCCACCGUUCACGCGGAUACGCAUGUCCACUCCCGCGAAUCGGUGUCGGCCUAAAAGGAGAAUUGGUUCGAAGGCUUUGUAGCGGAGGAUUUCAGGUUGAACCAACUCGAUGGGGACACCGUUGAUUUUGAUGAGACCUCGCCCACGCUUGCAGUGGGUCACUGCCACUGCUGUCUUCUUACGCCCGAAACAUUGGACCGAUUCCAUAGGAGAUGCGACUGCGACUGCUGCUGCCAUGAUUCCUCUUCUUUGAUCCUUUUUGGAGAAACCCUAACCCUAGAGCUACAAUGGCAUUGAGACAGGGUCCGAAACAUUGUACCGAUUCCAUAGGAGAUGCGACUGCGGCUGCCAUAAUUCCUCUUCUUUGAUCCUUCCGGGAGACGGAGACGGAGAAAGUGAAUCAGGGAAUUUAAGGGGGUUAGGGUUUUUGAACAAGCUGUUAGGCUUUUAUUUGGGCCACAUCAGACUGUCCGGCAAUUUGGGCUGGAC
RNAcentral lists this long non-coding RNA (758 nucleotides) under Nicotiana benthamiana. Its description in RNAcentral is "long non-coding RNA (NBEN_LNC028089)". The record is from RNAcentral. Lineage: Eukaryota; Viridiplantae; Streptophyta; Magnoliopsida; Solanales; Solanaceae.